UCGGCUGGCUUCAUCAACUAU
RNAcentral lists this small nuclear RNA (21 nucleotides) under Arabidopsis thaliana (thale cress). RNAcentral describes it as "snRNA_19303". The record is from RNAcentral. Lineage: Eukaryota; Viridiplantae; Streptophyta; Magnoliopsida; Brassicales; Brassicaceae.